Molecule: long non-coding RNA, 1123 nt
Filed under: Vigna radiata
Lineage: Eukaryota; Viridiplantae; Streptophyta; Magnoliopsida; Fabales; Fabaceae
Description: long non-coding RNA (VRAD_LNC013364)
Source: RNAcentral
ACAACACGAAAUUAAAGAAAACUCAAAGCAGCGAAACAAAUCCAUACAAGACUGAAUCAAACAACUCGUAAAACAGAGAGACAAGAUAUUGAGAACAAAUGACUCGAAACAGAUUUACAAUCGCAGAAAAUGAAGAACGAACAACACACAGAUCGAAUUAAUACGAGAUUAAAACUCAAAUAAGAGAGAAACACAAUACUUAGCUCAAGCGGACGCAGCUCAAACCUAGGCUCUGAAUACCACAUGAUACAGCCCGCUCCGAACGGAUCGACAGAGAAACAUUGAAUCUGACACGAUUUGAGCCCAUAACCUGAGAAUCAGCAAAAAUCACGGUUUGGAAGUUGAAGACGCAGCGGAAGACUGAAGAUGAAGACCACGAGCUAAGAAUCGGACACAAGAUGCAGCGGAAGAGGGCAAACAGAGGUAAACUCUAGAUUUUAGGAUUUCGAUCGGUGAAAUGCUAGGGUUGGUAGUUUUAAUCGGUGUAUUGGGAGGAUUUACCGAUUGAAUCGGUAGAACGGAAGAUAUCUAGGUUUUUAAUCGGUAAAAAUGGUGAUAACCCUAAAUAAUGGUCAGAGAUGGAUUGUUUGGGCUUUCAAUCGGUAUAAAGGAAGGAAGUCGUAUGAAGAAGGUAAAUUUGGGCUGUGGUUCGGUGGAAAACGACUAGCGGAGGUGGAUCUGUGAAGAACACUUGCGAGGAGAGAUUCGCGAAGGAAACCCUAAGCGAAAGAGGUCUGUGGCUUCGAAUGAGGCUGAUGAAUGAAAUGCGAAAAUGACACGUGAGGAUGUGGAAGUCUGAGAAAUGGAGGUGUGGCUGACGCGUAGGAUCGUGGCAGCAGGUCUGAUGUGCCACAAGGAGGCUGUGGAUUGGUGUAAGAGGUGUACGAUGAUGUUAGGUGGAGAGAGAGAAAUCUGAUGGUGGAAAAAUGAACGAAAUGCAAAGUGAAUGGAAGGUGGCUGAGAGAAUCCCUUGGAUUCUUCAGCCCUGCCUUUGAAGGUAGAAUUGCUCUAGAGCGUUCUCAACAGAAAAACAAUUCAAUUAUCUCAAAAGUGAUUACAAUAAGUGUAGGCAUGACUAUUUAUAAGACUAGAUGUCCCAUAUGCCUAACACAAUACAAAGUUC